GAACAUGAUGAGGUUAUUUAUCGCCCUAGUCUUUCACGCAUCCAUAGUGAUUGAUACUCUUAUUCACAUCUGAUUC
This is a small nucleolar RNA of Telopea speciosissima, 76 nucleotides long. RefSeq annotates it as small nucleolar RNA U31b. The transcript has a single exon. The record is from RefSeq and is a predicted model, not a curated record. Lineage: Eukaryota; Viridiplantae; Streptophyta; Magnoliopsida; Proteales; Proteaceae.